This 458-nucleotide ribosomal RNA is filed under the name uncultured Bacteroidota bacterium. Its description in RNAcentral is "bacterial SSU rRNA". It matches the Rfam family "Bacterial small subunit ribosomal RNA", at positions 36 to 487 of the family's 1533-position model. The record is from RNAcentral. Lineage: Bacteria; Pseudomonadati; Bacteroidota.
CUGGCGGCGGGCUUAACACAUGCAAGUCGAAGAGAAGGUAGAAGCUUGCUUUUACUGGAGACUGGCGGACGGGUGAGUAACGCGUAGAUAACCUGCCUAUAGCUGGGGGAUAACACUGCGAAAGUGGUGCUAAUACCGCAUAAUGCAGCGGGGCCGCAUGGCCAUAGUUGUUAAAGGUUUCGGCCGGCUAUAGAUGGGUCUGCGUGCUAUUAGUUAGUUGGUAGGGUAACGGCCUACCAAGGCGAUGAUAGCUAGGGGGUCUGAGAGGAUGAUCCCCCACACUGGGACUGAGACACGGCCCAGACUCCUACGGGAGGCAGCAGUGAGGAAUCUUGCGCAAUGGGCGAAAGCCUGACGCAGCCACGCCGCGUGCCGGAUGAAGGCCCUAUGGGUUGUAAACGGCUUUUACUAGGGAAGAACGAGAGGGUUUUGAUCUUCUGUGACGGUACCUAGUGAAU